This 305-nucleotide ribosomal RNA is filed under the name uncultured bacterium. RNAcentral describes it as "partial 16S ribosomal RNA". It matches the Rfam family "Bacterial small subunit ribosomal RNA", at positions 337 to 659 of the family's 1533-position model. The record is from RNAcentral.
CCCUACGGGGGGCAGCAGUGGGGGAUAUUGCACAAUGGGGGGAACCUUGAUGCAGCGACGCCGCGUGGGUGAAGAAGCGCCUCGGCGCGUAAAGCCCUGUCAGCAGGGAAGAAAAUGACGGUACCUGAAGAAGAAGCCCCGGCUAACUACGUGCCAGCAGCCGCGGUAAUACGUAGGGGGCAAGCGUUAUCCGGAUUUACUGGGUGUAAAGGGGGCGCAGACGGCGAUGCAAGCCAGGAGUGAAAGCCCGGGGCCCAACCCCGGGACUGCUCUUGGAACUGCGUGGCUGGAGUGCAGGAGGGGCA